This 157-nucleotide non-coding RNA is filed under the name human gut metagenome. The record is from RNAcentral.
UGGUGACUUCGGGGGUAAAAGGGAAUGGGGUGAAAGGCCCCGCGCGAUCCGGCGCUGUAAGUGCUGAGAGGCCCGUCCGUUGGCGAGAGCCGGUCAUUGGGGAAACCUGAGAAGGCAGGACGGCGCUUUGCUUGAGGCACAAGUCAGAAGACCGACA